Molecule: long non-coding RNA, 870 nt
Filed under: Equus caballus (horse)
Lineage: Eukaryota; Metazoa; Chordata; Mammalia; Perissodactyla; Equidae
Description: lncRNA (ENSECAG00000048906.1)
Source: RNAcentral
UGGAAACAGAGGCUCUGUGACAUCUCCAGUGAGCUUAUUAUCUUCUGAUCAGCUUAAUUUUAGGAGGUAACUGGUCCAAGACCCUAACACUCUGGGAGUGUUAGAACCAUGUAACCUCAGUAUGCCAGGAUAAUCCUGAGCUCAUCCAUUGCCAGAUUAUUCUCCAGGGCUGAUGUUCUAUGAGGAAGCUUGAAGAGUUGAGAUCCAUAGGAGGAAAUGUAGAUGGUAUAAAGGAGAACUGAUUUGAAGAAAGAGCACAAAACCAAGAAGGAGGAACUCCUGUCCCACUUAAUAAUCUACUUAUGUGAUGAGUUUAUACCACCUGUGCUAUUGGAAGGACACUGACGAGGUCCCCAGAACAACACAUGCUGCACCAACACACAACCUUGUGUCUUAAAUGAGCUCAGGGAAACAAGCAACUUUCCAAAACAUUUAUAGGAAAUACAAGAUAUAACAAGUGCGUUUGUGUAUGUGUGUAUUUUAUGUGUGUUAUUUUGUCCUUGAGGGAUUAGGUAUGUGUUCAGUAUAUUGAUUCUGAACUUAGUUUUGGGGAUAGGAUGUAUCACCCAAAUUAUUUCCAGAUUUUCUGAUGAAGGUUUUUCAGUGGCUGCUUCAGUCAGCAGCAUGUGGACUCCAGACCAAAGUCCCACUAUGUUGACUCAGCUUCAGUUCCUGAAGCAAGACUCCUCAUUUCACUCUGAGGGAAGAAUUAGAAAUAAAGAAUAAGCCUUCUUUAAACUGUCAAGUUGAGAUUUUUGAGUUAACUUUUUUUCCCUCAUUUUUUUUUUUUUUUGAGGAAGAUUAGCCCUGAGCUAACUACUGCCAGUCCUCCUCUUUUUGCUGAGGAAGGCUGGCACUGAGCUAACAUCG